CAGGUACAACCAACCAUGAGUCCGUCAGCCAUUUGAACUAUUACAGGGAGGUGUUAUUUUUUAGAGAUAAGGAACAAAGAGGUCUUAAUAUCCGGCUCAGUCAGGGCAGGAAAUUGCCUACUUCCUGAGCUAGAGUGGUAGAGCCUGUGGGAUGGGAGCCAGAUAUUGAAGGGAGGAGGCAUGUAAGCACUGGAGACCUUAGGAUUUUAUUGUCGGGCACAUGGACUUUGUAUCAGAAUGUCAAGAACUCAUUUUGUCUUGAGCACAGAAAGAUGCUUGGCAAAGAAUUAAUUACACUAAAGCAUUCUUACAAAUGUCAUGGCUGGACAUUAAUUUUCACUGAAGGAUAUUCAUUCUCAGAUGUUUAUGCUUUUCAUUCCUAAACCUCCUCAGAUUGUGGUAUGUGACAACAUUUUAAUUUUAAAGACUAUCAAUUACCCUGCUAAUUCUAAAUUCUACUAUAAAAGUGUAAAGUACCAGGUUGACCUUACAUCCCUUGUCCUAAUUACAUGUGUUUUUAUAGGCCAUCUAUCCAACCCCAACAACACUAACAAACUAGUUUACAAAGCACUUAACAUCUUCAGCCUUUUUUUUUUUUUUUGGUUCUCAUUUGUAAAUCAAGAUUGUUGAAGUGCACAUCUCAAAUGUUUGGGUUCUGAAGAAAAGUGGCAUAGAUUCCAUAAGUAUAACACUGUAUGGUGGAAAAAGGACAUUUCAGAGAGACCCAAGUCCAAACCUCUGCACAUCCAGUUAUCAGAUGUAUGACACUGGGAACAUUCUCUAAUCUUGUCAAGCUAGUUUCAACAUUUGUAACUUGAAUAAUACCUGAGUUAUAUGGUUGUUAUACAAUUAAUGACAUGGGGAAUUAAAGCAUCUGGCAGAUUAUAUAUUUAGUUGAUAUUUCUUUCCCUUCCUCCUCUUCUUCCAGUAUCAUGUAGACUUAAAAAAAAAAGGUUCAGAUUGUAAUGAAAGAAAAGAAUAUAAAGACUAAUUUAUAGGAAGAUCUAAUGGGAGCUUCAAUUUUGACAAGCAAAAAUAAGAAAUUGGGGCAUUCUACCCAGGGAGGAAUGUAAUUAAAAGUAAGAUUACACAAUGGAAUACUACUCAGCCAUAAAAAAGAACAAAAUAAUGCCAUUUGCAGUAACAUGGAUGGAACUAGAGACUCUCAUCCUGAGUGAAGUAAGUCAAAGAGAAAGACAAAUACUUUAUCAUAUCCCUUAUAUCUGGAAUCUAAUACACAGCACAAAUGAACCUUUCCACAGAAAAGAAAAUCAUGGACUUGGAAAAUAGAUUCGUGGUUGCCAAGGGGGAGGGGGAAGGAGUGGGAUCGAUUGGGAGCUAGGGGUUAAUGGAUGCAAAGUGUUGCUUUUGGAAUGGAUUAGCAAUGAGAUCCUGCUGUGUGGCACUGAGAACUAUGUCUAGUCAUUUAUGAUGGAGCAUGAUAAUGGGAGAAAAAAGAAUCUAUACAUGUAUGUGUACCUGGGUCACCAUGCUGUACAGUAGAAAAAAAUUGUAUUGGGGAAAUAACAAUAAAAAAAUGGAAAAAAAUAUGAUGGCUCUAAUUAAAAGUGUAUGUGGAGGUAAGUCUUCUGAUGCUAUUGAAAUGUAGAAUGCAGUGCCAGAGUUAAGGUAUAUAUUUCAUGUUUCUAUGUCUUGACUCAUAAAUUAACUUUUACUCAGAUGUUUGUAUCUUGCACACAAUAUUCUCUCUUUUUUUUUUUUUAAAGCAUACCUUGGAGAUCAUCUUAUCUGUACAUAAAACUUCCUUUUCUUAAUUUACUAUUUGUAAUAUACCAUUACAAUUGUAGUAUAUACACUACAAUUUAUAUAAACAGUACUCUAGUGAUGGAUAUUCAGGUGGUUACCAUACUUUGCUUUUUUAAACAAGGUUACUGAGAAUAAUCUUGUAUAUACAUUACUUUACCGCAUGUAUAAGUAAAUCUGUAGGAUAGAGUCCUAAAUGUGGAUUUUCUGGUUAAAGGAUGUGUAUAAUUUCAAUUAGUACAGACAAAUGCCCUGCAAACAAGUUUUAUUGAUUUCGAUGUACACCGUCUAUGUAUGAAACAGUUACCUUGAACUCUAUUCCAUAUAGAUUUAUCAUUCUUUUUUCUUUUUCUUUCUCUUUUUUAAAUUUCAAAUGUUUUUUUUUUUCCAUUAUAGCUGGUUUACAGUGUUCUAUCAAUUUUCUACUGUACAGCAAGGUGACCCAGUCACACAUACAUAUAUACAUUCUUUUUUCUCACAUUAUUAUGCUUCAUCAUAAAUGACUAGAUACAUUUCCCAAUGCUGUACAGCAGGAUCUCAUUGUUUAUCUAUUCCAAAGGCAAUAGUUUGCAUCUAUUAACCCCAAAUUCCCAGUCCAUCCCACUCCUCCCUUUCCCCCUUGGUUAUCAUACUUUCUAAAUUUGGCCAAUCUUCUGAUUUGAAGAACUUAGCAUUUCUUAAACAUCUUGUAUUUAAGAGUUGUCUGUAUCUCCUUUUCCAGUCACAGUUUGCUUAUUUGGCUGCUGGAUUAUUGAGGUUUUCCUUAUCGAAUAGUGGACACUCUAUAUGUUGGAGACAUUGGCUUUUUGUUUCUUAUGCCAACAUUUUCUCUCAAUUCUUUUGUUUAAUUUUUGCAUUUAUUGUGAUUCUUACCAUAGAAAAUAUUUUAAAAAUCUUUUUAAUAUCAGUUUUUAUGGCUUCUGGAUUUUAUUUAUACUUAGAAAAAAUUUCCUCACUUGAGAGAAUAAUUUUUUCAUGGUUUCAUCUGUUACUUUUAUGAUUUCAUUUCUUACACUUAAAUCUUAGAUCAAUUUCAUAUUUUUUCUGGGGAGAGAUAUGAAUCCAUAUUUAUUUAUUUUUUUCAGGUGACUACUCAGAUCUCUCAUCACAAAUUAUUAUAUAAUCCACAUUUUCAAUACCACCUUGAAGUUUUUCCUGUAUAUUUACUAUACAACUGUAUGUAUUGGUAUACACUUCUGAGUUUUGUUUCUUUCAUAAGCUUGUCUGUCUACUCUUGUGCAAGACGUGAAUUUUUAAUUUUUAUUAGAUUUAUAACAAGUCUCAAAACCUGGUAAAAUGAUUUCCUUGUCUUACUUUAGUUUUUCAGAAAAUUUCUAAUUAUCUUCACUUGCUUAUUUUUCUAGAUGAUUUUUCGAGUCAAUGACAUGUCCCACACUACCCUCUUAUACAAAUACAUCCAAUGCAUAAAUUAACUUCAGUGACAUUUACUUUGAAAAUUUUUUUAAUAUUCCUUUCCAAGUGCACUCUAUACUUUUCUUAUAAUCAAGUGUGUAUGUGUGCAUGUGUUUGUAUAUACAUGUAUGUGAAUAUCUGUGUUUGUAUAUUGUAUGAUUCUCAAAAGAAUUUUAAAAUUUAUUCAUAUUGAUAUUUCUUCAUUAUUUCUUAUACUUUCUUCAUUAUUAAGUAUAUUCUUAGGUUUUGUUGCUAUUGCUUUCAUAAAUCUUUUUCUCCUAUAGAUCAUCCAACUGGGUAUUGUUUGUAAUAUAAAUAUUGUACAUUAAUCUUUCACCCAGCUACCUAAUAAAGUUCUCUUAUUGAUG
This 3545-nucleotide long non-coding RNA is filed under the name Sus scrofa (pig). Its description in RNAcentral is "lncRNA (ENSSSCG00000058012.1)". The record is from RNAcentral. Lineage: Eukaryota; Metazoa; Chordata; Mammalia; Artiodactyla; Suidae.